ACCUGGCUGGUUCAAUCAGUACAACAUGUGAUUCUUGAUCGCGGGGUUGUGAGUUCGAGCCCCACAUCAGGUA
Molecule: transfer RNA, 73 nt
Filed under: Felis catus (domestic cat)
Lineage: Eukaryota; Metazoa; Chordata; Mammalia; Carnivora; Felidae
Rfam family: tRNA
About the family: Transfer RNA (tRNA) molecules are approximately 80 nucleotides in length. Their secondary structure includes four short double-helical elements and three loops (D, anti-codon, and T loops).
Source: Rfam by way of RNAcentral